RNAcentral lists this transfer-messenger RNA (381 nucleotides) under Phycisphaerae bacterium. It matches the Rfam family "transfer-messenger RNA". From Rfam's summary of the family: Bacterial tmRNA, also known as 10Sa RNA or SsrA, is named for its dual tRNA and mRNA-like properties. Its role is to liberate the mRNA from a stalled ribosome. To accomplish this part of the tmRNA is used as a reading frame that ends in a translation stop signal. The record is from RNAcentral. Lineage: Bacteria; Pseudomonadati; Planctomycetota; Phycisphaerae.
GGGGCCGAUCGGCAUCGACCGGAUAGGUUAGAUGCAGGGUGGCACGUCGAGGUGUGCGUUGGCCUCGUUAAACCACGCACAACACACACAAAUGCCAACGACACUGUCGCUGGUCGCAUCGGCUUCGCGCCGGCGCGCCUCGCUGCUUAAAGUAGCGACAUCCUUCGCUUAGUCGUCCUGAGCGCGGCGAAGGGUGCAUGAUAUUCAGGAUCGUCCAAGAAUGGUGUGUCAGCAUUCGCGGAUUAAAAAACACUGCCACUGGGUCCUGAUCCACGCUGUCGCUGGCGGGGGUUGGGACUGAGAUUAAAUCAGCGAACAAACGUGUAGAGGCUCUGUAUCGUCUAUCUCGGGACGGGGGUUCGAUUCCCCCCGGCUCCAUUG